RNAcentral lists this ribosomal RNA (808 nucleotides) under uncultured bacterium. RNAcentral's name for it is "bacterial SSU rRNA". It matches the Rfam family "Bacterial small subunit ribosomal RNA", at positions 60 to 876 of the family's 1533-position model. The record is from RNAcentral.
AGUCGAGCGAGGUCCAUCCAGUGGUAACACUGGUGAAGACCUAGCGGCGAACGGGUGAGUAACACGUGAGAAACCUGCCCCGAAGACUGGGAUAACUCUCCGAAAGGAGAGCUAAUACCAGAUGCCCUCACCGGGCCGCAUGACUUGGUGAGGAAAUGGAUUCCGCUUCGGGAGGGUCUCGCGGCCUAUCAGCUUGUUGGUGAGGUAACGGCUCACCAAGGCUUCGACGGGUAGCUGGUCUGAGAGGAUGAUCAGCCACACUGGGACUGAGACACGGCCCAGACUCCUACGGGAGGCAGCAGUGGGGAAUCUUGCGCAAUGGGCGAAAGCCUGACGCAGCAACGCCGCGUGGGGAUGAAGGCUCUCGGGUUGUAAACCCCUUUCAGCAGGGAAGAUUAUGACGGUACCUGCAGAAGAAGCCCCGGCCAACUACGUGCCAGCAGCCGCGGUAAUACGUAGGGGGCAAGCGUUGUCCGGAUUUAUUGGGCGUAAAGAGCUUGUAGGCGGCUUGGUAAGUCGAGUGUGAAAACUCCAGGCUCAACCUGGAGACGCCAUUCGAUACUGCCAUGGCUAGAGUCCGGUAGAGGAGCACGGAAUUCCUGGUGUAGCGGUGAAAUGCGCAGAUAUCAGGAGGAACACCAGCAGCGAAGGCGGUGCUCUGGGCCGGUACUGACGCUGAGAAGCGAAAGCGUGGGGAGCGAACAGGAUUAGAUACCCUGGUAGUCCACGCCGUAAACGUUGGGCACUAGGUGUGGGUCCCUAUCGACGGGAUCUGUGCCGUAGCUAACGCAUUAAGUGCCCCGCCUGG